GUCUGAGACGAAGGCGGAGGCUCGGGGCUCCUUGUCGCCGGUGGCUGGGUGGCGUCCCCCCACCACGCCCCCACCCCUCUGCUCACCCAAGAGGAGCCUCUCCACCGAGCCCUGCAUCCUGCUGCCCUGGCAGCCAGUCCAGCUAGGCACUGGCCCAGUUCACUGUACCUGGACUUACCCACUGGCACCCUCCGGAUCCCCUUAUCAAAGCUGAUGGGGGUCGCUGGGGACCCCCCAGCCUUUUGCUAGAGACUGCACGGCUGUGCGAGCUUGAAAAGAAACAUGAAGGUGGGCUGGCCAGGUGAGAGCUGCUGGCAGGUGGGCCUGGCUGUGGAGGAUAGCCCAGCUCUGGGAGCACCACGGGUGGGAGCCCUCCCUGACGUGGUGCCGGAGGGGACACUACUCAACAUGGUGUUGAGAAGGAUGCACCGGCCCCGAAGCUGCUCCUACCAGCUGCUGCUGGAGCACCAGCGUCCGAGCUGCAUCCAGGGGCUGCGCUGGACACCACUCACCAACAGCGAGGAGUCCCUGGAUUUCAGCGAGAGCCUGGAGCAGGCCUCCACAGAGCGGGUGCUCAGGGCUGGGAGGCAGCUGCAUCGGCAUCUGCUGGCCACCUGCCCAAACCUCAUCCGAGACCGGAAGUACCACCUUAGGCUCUAUCGGCAGUGCUGCUCUGGCCGGGAGCUGGUGGAUGGGAUCUUGGCCCUGGGACUUGGGGUCCAUUCCCGGAGCCAAGUUGUGGGAAUCUGCCAGGUGCUGCUGGAUGAAGGUGCCCUCUGCCAUGUGAAACACGACUGGGCCUUCCAGGACCGAGAUGCCCAAUUCUACCGGUUCCCCGGGCCCGAGCCCGAGCCCGUGGGAACUCAUGAGAUGGAGGAGGAGUUGGCCGAAGCUGUGGCCCUGCUCUCCCAGCGGGGGCCUGACGCCCUGCUCACUGUGGCACUUCGAAAGCCCCCAGGUCAGCGCACGGAUGAAGAGCUGGACCUCAUCUUUGAAGAGCUGCUGCACAUCAAGGCUGUGGCCCACCUCUCCAACUCGGUGAAGCGAGAAUUAGCGGCUGUUCUGCUCUUUGAACCACACAGCAAGGCAGGGACCGUGUUGUUCAGCCAGGGGGACAAGGGCACUUCGUGGUACAUUAUCUGGAAGGGAUCUGUCAACGUGGUGACCCAUGGCAAGGGGCUGGUGACCACCCUGCAUGAGGGAGAUGAUUUUGGACAGCUGGCUCUGGUGAAUGAUGCACCCCGGGCAGCCACCAUCAUCCUGCGAGAAGACAACUGUCAUUUCCUGCGUGUGGACAAGCAGGACUUCAACCGUAUCAUCAAGGUGCUACUGCUGGGGUUGGGGAGGGCAGGGGCCAUUCGUCCAGAGAAGUGAUGUGGAGAGAGGAGUAGGGACCAGAGCAGAGGGCCUGUAAGAAGCAGGGCAGGUAAGAGAUGCUGGGCUAUGACAGCUGGCAGUGGGACCAUGGCCCUGGGUGUGUGUGAGAAGGUGAAGCCCAUAAGGCACAGAAGGAGUUCAGUGAGACCAGUGACUUCAGGCUCAGUGUGGGAGACCAGGGGAAGGAUGGGCGUGCAGGGGGCGGGGGACUAGGCUGUAGGGGAGGCAGGAUGCAUGGAAGGUAGGGAAGGCUGAGGAGGUGGAGCCAAAGUCGGAGGUGGGAGAAGGGCUGUGGGUCCCUGUGGGACCCUCAUGGGGCUCACGGGCUGGAAUGAAGGAGGUAGAUGAGAGGGUCUAAAGCUGGAACAUCAUGAGUUGAGCAUGGGAUGUGGCCUGUUCUCCAGGAUGUGGAGGCAAAGACCAUGCGGCUGGAAGAACAUGGCAAAGUGGUGCUGGUGCUGGAGAGAGCCUCUCAGGGCGCCGGCCCUUCCCGACCCCCAACCCCAGGCAGGAACCGGUAAUACACCUGCCAUGCUCCCUCUCCACACUGUCCCUCCUUUCAUUUCCCAAUCUUUGCUCCCUUCCCCUGUGUCAUAUCCCUGCCCUCUGGCCACUUGUGGAUGGAGAGGUAUUGAGGGACCAGGAUGUGCCUGCUGAGCCAGUCUCCUCCCUGCCCUAAGGUGGGACAGGGCUGGCUAAUCGAGAAACAUGAUGUAAUUGAUUAUUGAUGUCUGCCCAGGUGUGGAAGUGGGGAGUAGUGGCACCAGUGCCAAAGAUUGGCCAUUUCUGCUAGGUAUACAGUGAUGUCUGGCACCCCAGAGAAGAUCCUAGAGCUUCUGUUGGAGGCCAUGGGACCAGAUUCCAGUGCUCAUGACCCAACAGAGACAUUCCUCAGCGACUUCCUCCUGACCCACAGGGUCUUCAUGCCCAGCGCCCAACUCUGCGCUGCCCUUCUGCACCACUUCCAUGUGGAGCCUGCGGGUGGCAGCGAGCAGGAGCGCAGCACCUACGUCUGCAACAAGAGGCAGCAGAUCUUGCGGCUGGUCAGCCAGUGGGUGGCCCUGUAUGGCUCCAUGCUCCACACUGACCCUGUGGCCACCAGCUUCCUCCAGAAACUCUCAGACCUGGUGGGCAGGGACACCCGACUCAGCAACCUGCUAAGGGAGCAGUGGCCAGAGAGGCGGCGAUGCCACAGGUUGGAGAAUGGCUGUGGGAAUGCAUCUCCUCAGAUGAAGGCCCGGAACUUGCCUGUUUGGCUCCCCAACCAGGACGAGCCCCUUCCUGGCAGCAGCUGUGCCAUCCGAGUUGGGGAUAAAGUCCCCUAUGACAUCUGCCGGCCAGACCACUCAGUGUUGACCCUGCAGCUGCCUGUGACAGCCUCCGUGAGAGAGGUGAUGGCAGCGUUGGCCCAGGAGGAUGGCUGGACCAAGGGGCAGGUGCUGGUGAAGGUCAAUUCUGCAGGUGAUGCCAUUGGCCUGCAGCCAGAUGCCCGUGGUGUGGCCACAUCUCUGGGGCUCAAUGAGCGUCUCUUUGUUGUCAACCCACAGGAAGUGCAUGAGCUGAUCCCACACCCUGACCAGCUGGGGCCCACUGUGGGCUCUGCUGAGGGGCUGGACCUGGUGAGUGCCAAGGACCUGGCAGGCCAGCUGACGGACCACGACUGGAGCCUCUUCAACAGUAUCCACCAGCCUCAAGGAGCAGAAGAAUCUCAAUUCCUUCUUUGCCGUCAUGUUUGGCCUCAGCAACUCGGCCAUCAGCCGCCUAGCCCACACCUGGGAGCGGCUGCCUCACAAAGUCCGGAAGCUGUACUCCGCCCUCGAGAGGCUGCUGGAUCCCUCAUGGAACCACCGGGUGUACCGACUGGCCCUCGCCAAGCUCUCCCCUCCUGUCAUCCCCUUCAUGCCCCUUCUUCUCAAAGACAUGACCUUCAUUCAUGAGGGAAACCACACACUAGUGGAGAAUCUCAUCAACUUUGAGAAGAUGAGAAUGAUGGCCAGAGCCGCGCGGAUGCUGCACCACUGCCGAAGCCACAACCCUGUGCCUCUCUCACCACUCAGAAGCCGAGUUUCCCACCUCCACGAGGACAGCCAGGUGGCGAGGAUUUCCACAUGCUCGGAGCAGUCCCUGAGCACCCGGAGUCCAGCCAGCACCUGGGCUUAUGUCCAGCAGCUGAAGGUCAUUGACAACCAGCGGGAACUCUCCCGCCUCUCCCGAGAGCUGGAGCCAUGAGGAGGGGCUGGGACUGGAGCUGGAGCAGGCACUUGCAGCCAGGAAAGCCAGGGUGUGCCGGGCCAAGAUACUCACAGGCUGGCCACAGCUGGGCAAGGCUCUCCGUGGAGUGGACUCGAGUCCCUGGAGCAGGCAGUGUGGAGGCAGCCAUCCCCUGUGAUGACUGGCAGCUAAGGAGGACCUCGGAGUGGACCUGAGCCAGGAAUAACGAAUGACCCAAGGCCAAGGAAGGGAGGACAGAGAGACCCCAGGAGUGGGUGGAGAGUGGAGUGCGCUGGGACGUUGUGUGCAAUAGAGAGCUCUCCACACCA
Molecule: small RNA, 3917 nt
Filed under: Pan troglodytes (chimpanzee)
Lineage: Eukaryota; Metazoa; Chordata; Mammalia; Primates; Hominidae
Description: retained intron
Source: RNAcentral